AGCACAGAGGAGCUUGCUCCUUGGGUGGCGAGUGGCGGACGGGUGAGGAAUACGUCGGAAUCUGCCUAUUUGUGGGGGAUAACGUAGGGAAACUUACGCUAAUACCGCAUACGACCUACGGGUGAAAGCGGAGGACCUUCGGGCUUCGCGCAGAUAGAUGAGCCGACGUCGGAUUAGCUAGUUGGCGGGGUAAAGGCCCACCAAGGCGACGAUCCGUAGCUGGUCUGAGAGGAUGAUCAGCCACACUGGAACUGAGACACGGUCCAGACUCCUACGGGAGGCAGCAGUGGGGAAUAUUGGACAAUGGGCGCAAGCCUGAUCCAGCCAUGCCGCGUGUGUGAAGAAGGCCUUCGGGUUGUAAAGCACUUUUGUCCGGAAAGAAAAGCUUCGGGUUAAUACCCCGAGGUCAUGACGGUACCGGAAGAAUAAGCACCGGCUAACUUCGUGCCAGCAGCCGCGGUAAUACGAAGGGUGCAAGCGUUACUCGGAAUUACUGGGCGUAAAGCGUGCGUAGGUGGUUUGUUAAGUCUGAUGUGAAAGCCCUGGGCUCAACCUGGGAAUGGCAUUGGAAACUGGCUUACUAGAGUGCGGUAGAGGGUAGUGGAAUUCCCGGUGUAGCAGUGAAAUGCGUAGAUAUCGGGAGGAACAUCUGUGGCGAAGGCGACUACCUGGACCAGCACUGACACUGAGGCACGAAAGCGUGGG
RNAcentral lists this ribosomal RNA (705 nucleotides) under Lysobacter sp. RNAcentral describes it as "bacterial SSU rRNA". It matches the Rfam family "Bacterial small subunit ribosomal RNA", at positions 68 to 765 of the family's 1533-position model. Lineage: Bacteria; Pseudomonadati; Pseudomonadota; Gammaproteobacteria; Lysobacterales; Lysobacteraceae. The record is from RNAcentral.